RNAcentral lists this long non-coding RNA (668 nucleotides) under Hordeum vulgare. RNAcentral's name for it is "long non-coding RNA (HVUL_LNC009770)". The record is from RNAcentral. Lineage: Eukaryota; Viridiplantae; Streptophyta; Magnoliopsida; Poales; Poaceae.
UGAACUUUCUAUGGCUGGUAAGAUGUCUAACCUCAAUCUUCUAGCAGCCGGUGCUCGUUGGCCUCUCGUCUCUACUCAGCUGCUGAAUGUAUGAAAUAGAUGGCUAAAUAUUUAAUUUAUUGGUCCCUUCUAGAUGGUAGUGAUGUGGAGACACAAGAGAUUGUCUAGCAUAUACAUAUAAAUAAAAUUAUACAUUGAUCUUUCUUAUCUCUGCCAGUGAUCAGUGAACUAUUGUUCUAGAUGUACACCUACUGUGUUGCAUAUUUCGCCAUCAUUCAUGGUGGCCUAUAGCUCUUCUCGUUUACCAUAGGAGUAGUACCAAUCUUUGGAAUGCUCCUAAUUUGGGUAAAUUUUGAAACAUUUAUGGAUGGGUCAAUUUAUGGACUUGUUCCUUUAUUACGUAAUUGUAUAGCUCAUGAUCUUAUAUAGUUUAGGGUUGUUUAUCCUAUUAUUUAUGCAUGAAGUUAAAAGCUAAACAUGGCAAAUGACACAAGUGAUUUGUUAAAAUAUAUCACGGAAGAAAGUACUUAUUUUUUGUUUCUACUUUUUCGAUGACAACUGGGAAGUUUCCUAUGUAUGGAGCAAGUUGUGUUGGUUCAACUUCAAAGUGGUAUAAGAAACUUGCAGUUCUUUUAUUUUAGUUAUAUCUUGUAAGCUAUAGAAAAUAG